CAGAAUUAUUAAAAGGCCCAUUUGUCAAUUAAGCCCUGAGAUUGUCUCAAAGUUGUAUGGCAUAUUUCCAUUUAUGGUGUCUUCAAGCCUUAGUUUCUGCUUCAUUCCAAGCAGCAACUACACCAGACGUGGCUACAACCAUCAAUAAAUCUUCAACACAUGUUGCAGCAGAAACACCUCAGCAUUUGGUGGGGUUUGGAGAGCAGGGAAGCAUAUGUCAUAUGAAAAUAAAAAAAAAAAAUCAGAUCAGUUGAAACAAUACAAAAAUCCCAGUUGCAUCAAAUCAGAUAUACCAAAGGAUUUUAUUAUCCUUGUGCCUCGCACGAAAGAUCAAAGAAAAAUGCCCAGAAAUUAUUUUUGUUGCUGGCAAUGAUAUUAUAGGAUUUGACUUCCUUUGUAUACUUUUCAUUCCAACGAUUCAUAAUGAAUGGGCACAUAAAGAAUUUUCAAGAAUCAGGGCUGAUAUGGAGAAUGUUGGGAGUAAACAACAGAUAAAUUGAAAUGCCCAGACCUGCCAAACAAGUAAAUAAGUAUAACAGCAAAAUUUAUUGAUUGGGUCAUGUGAAAAAUCGAUAAUCAUCCAUAUUUUGACCUCUAUUGAGUUAUCAUCAAUCCAUUGAACCAUAAAAAUCAAUCUUGACUUUUCUUUUUCUUCAACAUUUUCAUGGAAAAUUACACAAUACCAAAGAGAUAAUAUAUAUCAAAGUUUUGUAUUUUGAUCAUAUUUUUAGUAGCUUACCUUAAUAAUGUUCUUGAUUUGAUCAUGCGUAUAUCCAAAAACUAACCACUUCCAUAUUGUAAGAACCAACCAAUUGUUGGUGUAGAUAUUUUCUUCGUCCAUUGCCCAUAUCCAUUCCCUCUGGAUAAUGUUAAUGGGUUUGCAGGAAUGGAGUACCCAUGUCAAGCUUUUCACAGAGUAGGUAA
RNAcentral lists this long non-coding RNA (924 nucleotides) under Vitis vinifera (wine grape). RNAcentral's name for it is "long non-coding RNA (VVIN_LNC003072)". The record is from RNAcentral. Lineage: Eukaryota; Viridiplantae; Streptophyta; Magnoliopsida; Vitales; Vitaceae.